CUUGGACAUUUUAUAUCUUGUUUAUACUGUUAUGGAUUCAGGAUUUACUAUGGUUACUAUGAUGCACCAUAACAAUGUCUAACAAUCCAAGACAUAGAUGAUAUGUUAUUGUAAAAUGGUUGUAUUAUCUUGACACUUGUCUGUUGUAUGCAAAUUAUGUGUCUUACCCCUACCACAAAAAUCUAGGGAAAUGGAUAGGGAAAGAAAAAGGAAAAGGAGGGGACGGACUUUGGGCUUCAUGGUGGUUGAACAUGUAUCAUGUGAGCUCCAGGCAUAACCGUUAUAUUUCACUGAAUACACAAUAAUCUGGAAGCCCACAAGUCAAAACUCAGAAUUUACCUGUGCCUGGAGCCGGUUGUAGUGCCUCUGAUCAAACAACACAAUCAUCUCUUGAAUGCCUGAAGAUUGUUUUAGCAGGUCCUAGUGUAUGUACCAGAUAUAUGUAGGGAUUAUGUAGAGAUUCAUUUUAGUCAAGAUACAUGAAAUCAAUAGUUAGGAAUCACAUACCUUGGAUGGAAGUGUAAAAAGUAUGGAGUAUAGAUGAAUUCGAGAAGGUUAGAGAAACCUAAAUGACUACAUAUAACCAUCAUUUAAUUAUACCUCGGGAUUCUGCUAGACCCACCUGGUGUAAUUAAAACAGACAUAAUACAUGAAUUUUGUUAAAAUUCCUCAUCAGAGUACAGGAUGGUGAAUCUAAUAUAUAACAUAAAUAUAAAGUUACAUAAUACAUAGGAAAUUAUUGGGAGAGUAUAUAUAAAAAAUGAUUAUGUGACUUGAUUGGAAAAAUGAACAUACCAACCUACCCCUAAAUUACUGGAACCGGGAUACAAUGGACCUCAGUAAAUUACUGGAAUACUAUUCAAACGGGACCAGUGUUCUUAUUGAUGGUCAGGGCUCAAUUAUUUAGAUCUAGGUAAAAAAAAAAAAACAUAUUUGUGAGAACCAUUUGGACUUCAAAUAAUUCAUAUGCAUAGAACAUGCUGGAUCGGAACCUGAACAGCACCAACCUGGAUUAUACAAACACGGAUUUAGGUGAUAAGCAUACAACAAUAACGACAACAUGAUGUAGCAAGGCCAGCACCAAUGCUAUAUUUAUGUACAUUGUUUGUCAUAAGCAUUAUCAAGGUAACGUAAUUAUAGACAGUAAACUUUCAUAAAAACACAUAAG
Non-coding RNA from Pelobates cultripes (western spadefoot toad), 1168 nucleotides. NCBI's taxonomy places the organism in Eukaryota, Metazoa, Chordata, Amphibia, Anura, Pelobatidae. The record is from the annotation of a GenBank genome assembly.